UACGUAGGCAGCAAGCGUUGUUCGGAGUUACUGGGCGUAAAGGGUGUGUAGGCGGUCCUCUAAGUUUGGUGUGAAAUCUCCCGGCUCAACUGGGAGGGUGCGCCGAAAACUGGAGGGCUAGAGUACUGGAUGGGAGAGUGGUAUUCCUGGUGUAGCGGUGAAAUGCGUAGAUAUCAGGAGGAACACCUGUGGUGUAGACGGCUCUCUGGACAGUAACUGACGCUGAGACACGAAAGCGUGGGUAGCAAACAGG
This 253-nucleotide ribosomal RNA is filed under the name uncultured bacterium. Its description in RNAcentral is "partial 16S ribosomal RNA". It matches the Rfam family "Bacterial small subunit ribosomal RNA", at positions 524 to 776 of the family's 1533-position model. The record is from RNAcentral.